RNAcentral lists this ribosomal RNA (497 nucleotides) under uncultured bacterium. Its description in RNAcentral is "partial 16S ribosomal RNA". It matches the Rfam family "Bacterial small subunit ribosomal RNA", at positions 28 to 507 of the family's 1533-position model. The record is from RNAcentral.
GAUGAACGCUGGCGGCGUGCCUAAUACAUGCAAGUCGAACGAACAGACGAGGAGCUUGCGCCGCGGACGUUAGCGGCGGACGGGUGAGUAACACGUGUAUAACCUACCUAUAAGACUGGGAUAACUUCGGGAAACCGGAUCUAAUACCGGAUAAUAUAUUGAACCGCAUGGUUCAUUAGUGAAAGACGGUGUUGCUGGCACUUAUAGAUGGAUCCGCGCCGCAUUAGCUAGUUGGGAAGGUAACGGCUUACCAAGGCAACGAUGCGUAGCCGACCUGAGAGGGGGAUCGGCCACCCGGGAACUGAGACAGGGUCAAGACUCCUACGGGAGGCAGCAGUAGGGAAUCUUACGCAAUGGGCGAAAGCCUGACGGAGCAACGCCGCGUGAGUGAUGAAGGUCUUCGGAUCGUAAAACUCUGUUAUUAGGGAAGAACAACUGUGUAAGUAAACAUGCCCGUCUUGACGGUAACUAAUCAGAAAGCCCCGGCUAACUACGUG